Morone saxatilis (striped sea-bass) is the source of this 360-nucleotide long non-coding RNA. RefSeq lists it as uncharacterized. NCBI's taxonomy places the organism in Eukaryota, Metazoa, Chordata, Actinopteri, Moronidae. The transcript is spliced from 3 exons. The record is from RefSeq and is a predicted model, not a curated record.
GUCAACCUCUAUUUAAAAAAGAUUUGUGUCUGUGUUCUCUUCUCAUAUCCCUUCUAUUCACCCUCUCAAGGUCUUUUGAGGACAAUUUUGCCACGAUGUCAACGAUUCUGCAAGCAAUCGGAAUGCUCCACGCUGUCUUUACACAGCAUGCUGGAGCAGAUAAAAAACUGAACAAGGAAGAACUUGGUAAACUGUUCCGCAUAGAGUUUGGCAUGAAAGACUCCAAAGCAGCGGAAAACUUCCUCUGUGAACUGGAUAACAACAAGGAUGGUUUUGUCGAUUUUACUGAGUUUACUACUAUGGUUGCAGCCUUAAGCCUGAUGCUGCAGGAAUAAAUGGUUUGGCCAGAUUACUUAAGAA